RNAcentral lists this ribosomal RNA (119 nucleotides) under Pteropus vampyrus (large flying fox). Lineage: Eukaryota; Metazoa; Chordata; Mammalia; Chiroptera; Pteropodidae. The record is from RNAcentral.
UACUACGACCAUGCCACCCUGAACGAACCCAAUCUCUUCUCAUCUCGGAAGCUAAGCAGAGUCGGGCCUGGUUAGUGCUUGGAUGGGAGACCACCUAGGAAGACCAGGUGCUGUAGGCA